RNAcentral lists this ribosomal RNA (519 nucleotides) under uncultured bacterium. RNAcentral describes it as "partial 16S ribosomal RNA". It matches the Rfam family "Bacterial small subunit ribosomal RNA", at positions 28 to 507 of the family's 1533-position model. The record is from RNAcentral.
GACGAACGCUGGCGGCGUGCCUAAUACAUGCAAGUCGAGCGAGUCUGCCUUGAAGAUCGGAGUGCUUGCACUCUGUGAAACAAGAUACAGGCUAGCGGCGGACGGGUGAGUAACACGUGGGUAACCUGCCCAAGAGAUCGGGAUAACACCUGGAAACAGAUGCUAAUACCGGAUAACAACAGAUGAUGCCUAUCAACUGUUUAAAAGAUGGUUCUGCUAUCACUCUUGGAUGGACCUGCGGUGCAUUAGCUAGUUGGUAGGGUAACGGCCUACCAAGGCGAUGAUGCAUAGCCGAGUUGAGAGACUGAUCGGCCACAUUGGGACUGAGACACGGCCCAAACUCCUACGGGAGGCAGCAGUAGGGAAUCUUCCACAAUGGACGCAAGUCUGAUGGAGCAACGCCGCGUGAGUGAAGAAGGAUUUCGGCUCGUAAAGCUCUGUUGUUGGUGAAGAAGGACAGGGGUAGUAACUGACCUUUGUUUGACGGUAAUCAAUGAGAAAGUCACGGCUAACUACGUG